CCAGAUAUAAAUGUCUUUGUGCCUCUCUCUGCCUCACUCUGAGCUCAGAGGUCUCUGCCUGCAGGUGUUCAGCUGACACAAUGAUGUCUCUGCCCCUUCUCUGGCUGCUGGUGCUCUGGGCUCGGGCUUCCUAUGGCAAAGUUGUGCUGACACAGUCUCCAGCCUCCUUGUCUGCAUCUCCAGGAGACAGAGUAACCAUGAACUGCAAGGCCAGUGAGAGUAUUACAGAUAGUGCUGAUGAUGACCUAUUAAGCUGGUUCCAAAAGAAGCCUGGUCAGCCCCCUAGACCCCUCAUCUACUGGGCUAAGAACCUGGAAUCUGGGGUCCCUGCCCGGUUCAGUGGCAGCGGGUCUGGGACGGAUUUCACUCUCACCAUCAGUGGUAUGGAGGCUGAGGACUCUGCAGUCUAUUACUGUUACCAGCAUUUAAAAAUGCCUCCCACAGUGAUAUAUUCUCGAACAAAAACCUCCCAAGACUCAGGCAGGGGAUCAGUGAAGCUUCAAUAGCCCAGCAACUUCCCC
Molecule: non-coding RNA, 521 nt
Organism: Antechinus flavipes (yellow-footed antechinus)
Lineage: Eukaryota; Metazoa; Chordata; Mammalia; Dasyuromorphia; Dasyuridae
Source: the annotation of a RefSeq genome assembly